AGAUUGAACGCUGGCGGCAUGCCUUACACAUGCAAGUCGAACGGCAGCACGGGAGCAAUCCUGGUGGCGAGUGGCGAACGGGUGAGUAAUAUAUCGGAACGUGCCCAGUCGUGGGGGAUAACGCAGUGAAAGCUGUGCUAAUACUGCAUACGAUCUAUGGAUGAAAGCGGGGGACUCGCAAGAGCCUCGCGCGAUUGGAGCGGCCGAUAUCAGAUUAGCUAGUUGGUGGGGUAAAAGCCCACCAAGGCGACGAUCUGUAGCUGGUCUGAGAGGACGACCAGCCACACUGGAACUGAGACACGGUCCAGACUCCUACGGGAGGCAGCAGUGGGAAUUUUGGACAAUGGGCGCAAGCCUGAUCCAGUCAAUGCCGCGUGCAGAUGAAGGCUUCGGUGUAACUGCUUUGAGUAACGAAAGUCUUACUAAUACAGGCCAUGACGUACCGUAAGAAUAAGACACCGCUAA
Molecule: ribosomal RNA, 465 nt
Filed under: uncultured soil bacterium
Lineage: Bacteria
Description: bacterial SSU rRNA
Rfam family: Bacterial small subunit ribosomal RNA
Source: RNAcentral